RNAcentral lists this ribosomal RNA (693 nucleotides) under Careproctus rastrinus. RNAcentral's name for it is "partial 16S rRNA". The stretch from base 1 to 443 matches the Rfam family "Bacterial large subunit ribosomal RNA", at positions 705 to 1298 of the family's 2925-position model. The record is from RNAcentral. Lineage: Eukaryota; Metazoa; Chordata; Actinopteri; Perciformes; Liparidae.
GUUUGAUACCCCGAAACUACGUGAGCUACUUCAAGACAGCCUAUUAAUAGGGCUAACCCAUCUCUGUGGCAAAAGCGUGGGAAGAACUUUGAGUAGAGGUGACAAACCUACCGAACCUAGUUAUAGCUGGUUGUCCAAGAAAUGAAUAAAAGUUCAGCCUCUAAGCUUCUCCUUUCACCUGAACUUAACCCCUUUAGAUGUAUUAAAGAAACUAAGAAAGUUAGUCAAAGGAGGUACAGCUCCUUUGAAUCAAGACACAACUUUAACAGGCGGGUAAAGAUCAUAAUAACCAAAGCUAGACAUUCUGGUGGGCCUAAAAGCAGCCAUCCCUUAGAAAGCGUUAAAGCUCAAACAUAUUACUUAUACCUUCUUAUCCUGAUCAAUAAAUCUCACCCCCCUAACCAUACUGGACCCUCCCAUGCCCCCAUGGGUGUGAUUAUGCUAAUAUGAGUAAUAAGAGAGCCCGCCUCUCUCCCUGCACACGUGUACCUCGGAACAGACAACCCACCGACCAUUAACGACCCCAAACAAAGAGGGUAAUAAAUCAUAAACUAAAAUCAAGUAAAACAUUUAAAAAUUAACCGUUAACCCCACACAGGUGUACCCCAAGGAAAGACCUAAAGAAAGAGAAGGAACUCGGCAAACACAUAAAGUCUCGCCUGUUUACCAAAAACAUCGCCUCUUGUGCCCCCC